ACGCUAUCACUCCUACGGGAGGCAGCAGUGGGGAAUCUUAGACAAUGGGGGAAACCCUGAUCUAGCCAUGCCGCGUGAGUGAUGAAGGCCUUAGGGUCGUAAAGCUCUUUCGCCAGGGAUGAUAAUGACAGUACCUGGUAAAGAAACCCCGGCUAACUCCGUGCCAGCACGCCGGCGAUGAUACGGAGGGGUUAGCGUUGUUCGGAAUUACUGGGCGUAAAGCGCGCGUAGGCGGACUAGAAAGUUGGGGGUGAAAUCCCGGGGCUCAACCUCGGAACUGCCUUCAAAACUCCUAGUCUAGAGUUCGAGAGAGGUGAGUGGAAUUCCAAGUGUAGAGGUGAAAUUCGUAGAUAUUUGGAGGAACACCAGUGGCGAAGGCGGCUCACUGGCUCGAUACUGACGCUGAGGUGCGAAAGUGUGGGGAGCAAACAGGAUUAGAUACCCUGGUAG
This 450-nucleotide ribosomal RNA is filed under the name uncultured bacterium. RNAcentral's name for it is "bacterial SSU rRNA". It matches the Rfam family "Bacterial small subunit ribosomal RNA", at positions 326 to 793 of the family's 1533-position model. The record is from RNAcentral.